GACUCUGUGCCGGGCGGGGGCCGGGAAGGGGUGGGAGAAGUCGCCGCCCGCGUCUGUCCAAACUUAGUCCCAAACUCAGGAGGUUCCUGUCCCAAGAAGCAAUGUAAAGUUUGAAACGAGCCGAGUGCGGUGGUUCACGCCUGUAAUCCCAGCACUUUGGGAGGCCGAGGCUGGCGAAUCAUUUGAGACACAGGGUCUCACUGUGUUGGCCAGGCUGGAGUGCGGCAGUCUGGAACUCCUGGGCCCAAGUGAUCCUCCAAUCAGCCUCCCAAAGCACUGGAAUUACAGACGGAGUUUUGCUCUUGUUGCCCAGGCUGGAGUACAAUGGCGCAAUCUCGGCUCACUGCAACCUCUGCCUCCGGGGUUCAAGUGAUUCUCCUGCCUCAGCCUCCUGAGUAGCUGGGAUUACAGGAGCCUACUACCACGGCCAGCUAAUUUUUUUGUAUUUUUAGUAGAGACGGGGUUUUACCAUGUUGGCCAGGCUGGUUUCAAACUCCUGACCUCAGGUGAUCCACCCACCUCGGCCUCCCAAACUGCUGGGAUUAUAGGCAUGAGCCACUGUGCCCGGCCCAUAGAUUACUUUUAUAAUCAGAAGUUUUUACUUUUUAAAGAGUAAAUUCUCUCACCUCAGGUAGCUCAGAGAGCUGCGCUGGAGGAGAAAAGCCAGUCCUGGCAGGAGCUCUGGUACCUGGGAAGCUGGAUGGAGAGCCUGGGCCAGAAUCCCGGACCCCUCACCUCUGCGGCCUAGCUUUGUGACCUUGGCAAAUCCAUUCUAUGCGCCUCCAUUUCCUGUACAGUGGGGAUCCUUAUUUCUCUGUCACAGAUUGGUAUUUGUUCUGUAAAGCCCAGUACCACUUUAUUUUAUUUUAGUUAUUGAUUUUUUUGAGACAGGGCCUCACUCUGUUGCCAAGGCUGGAAUGCAGUGGCGAGGUCAUAGCUCACUGCAGCCUCAAACUCCUGGGCUCAGGCCAUCCUCCUGCCUCGGCCUCCUGAGUAGCUGGGACGACAGGCAUGCACCAGUGCGCCUAGCUCCAGUACCAUGUUUAAACGGUGCUCAGAAAACUUGCUAAACUUGGUGGAUGGGAAUUGAAAAGAGAUUUAAUGUUUUAAAAAUCAAAGUCACUGAGCUGCAGUGCCACAUGGGAAGGAGGCCUGGAUGUGAAUGUUCCUGGGAGCUGAGAGCUCCUGUGACUGUCGCCAGUUUCCUGUGGUCUCCCACAGACUCAGGACAUCUCCCUCUGCUCCAGGACACCUCAGGACCACCAGGGGGCACUCAUCGCACCUUCACCCCUGGAAGGGAGCUGGUCCUGGGGCCAAAACCCACUGUGCCUGGGAAGCCCUUCCUGGCUUCUGCUCUCCUCAAUGUAUGACAGCCCUGAUUUACCCCCAGGGACUGUUGCCACUCGGGGUUGUAGAGUAAUAUGUAACCAGACUGGAGAACCACAGCAAUGCUCUCUCCUCUGCCCAUCACCUCCCCUUGGCCCCUCCCUCUUCAUCAGCCCCAUUUUGGAGAAGGGAGAAAGAAAGGAGAGGCAGCAGUCUCCUCCCAGGUGGGGCCGGACUCCAGGGAAGGAGAAUUUUCAGAAGUUGCUGGAGUUGCCGAAUCUGUCAGGGCCCAGGGUUCACAGAGCAGUGAUGGAGGAGAAAGGAGAGGAAGCAGAUCUAAGCACACAUGGGCAUCAAACCAGAGGAACAAAGUCACAUGCAGAGGGCUGCACAUAGACACAGGGAAACACACACACGGAGAUGCACAGAAACACGCAGACCCCACGCAGGGACCUGCUUUCCCGCCACAGAGGAAAGCAAUCUGAUCAAACAGACCCACUGUGCACCCAGCCCUCCAUGCUUGGGGACAACACACCUAC
Long non-coding RNA from Pan troglodytes (chimpanzee), 1865 nucleotides. RefSeq lists it as uncharacterized. Lineage: Eukaryota; Metazoa; Chordata; Mammalia; Primates; Hominidae. The transcript is spliced from 4 exons. The record is from RefSeq and is a predicted model, not a curated record.